RNA transcript from Zeugodacus cucurbitae (melon fly), 5809 nucleotides. It is a transcript of the gene named yemanuclein, with no coding region annotated. The record is from RefSeq and is a predicted model, not a curated record. Lineage: Eukaryota; Metazoa; Arthropoda; Insecta; Diptera; Tephritidae. The transcript has 9 exons.
UAUAGUUUUAAAGAUUUAGUUCAAAUAAUAUUUGAUACUUUUUGGACAGAGUUGCAGUUGUCGUUUUCAAAGUGUACUGUUUUAUAUUUUCCCAAAUCAACCGCGAAAUGGAAUAAGGAGAAUGAAAGACUUUUGUAGAUGCUCCAAAAUAACAAAAUGCAAAAAUUUAACCGAUUGAAAAAUUAGCAAAUUUGCAGAAUUACAACGUGUGAGUGUUAAAUAAUUUGCACUUUAUUGAAAAUAAACAGACUUGUGAUUGAAUAAAGUUGGUGAACAAAGUGCUCAGUGAGUUAAAAAGUGUGUGAAAUUUUAGUCACGUCGUCGGCCUGGAACUGCAUGCAGCAGAUAUGUAAAAAGUAUUCGCGGCAGCAGAAGCUUAAGCAGCGCCUGAAGCAGCAGCACAAUUUAGUGUGUUGUGUGUGAUUUGUGGAAUAGUGUUUAUAGAAGCAAGGGAAUAAAUAGAGGAGAGAAGGUGGUUCGUGUGCGUGAGUGCGUUUACUCUUGCAAUCAAAGCAGUGUUAAAGCAAAUAAAAGACAAUUGCGCCAAUGGCAAAAAGCAAAAGAAAAUAAUUGCAUUAAAAGAAUAGAAAACAUAAUUAUUGAACACAUUCAACAAAAAAACAUUCAUUUCAUAAAGUGUAAUUAAUUUGGUUUAACUCAUUAAUUAAUAUUAAAUAUAUUUGGUGAAUCGGUGAAGUAAUAGAAUUUUUACAUUUUUCGUAUACACAGGCAAGAAUAGUCACGUUGCUGGCUUUAUUAAUGUUGCUCACAAAACUUGGGAAAUUUUAUAACUUUACAAGUCUCAGUUGAAAUAAAAUAAUAAUUUCGUAGAAAUGUCCGAAAUGAAACGAGUUUCAUUUACAACUUUAAGUAGUACAACAACUGUAACCAAUUUCGGUGCUCGUGGUAAUGCCGCUACCGGUGAUUUAGGAGCCACCAGCAGUGCUACAUUAGCCACGACUGCUUCACGUUUCGGUGUUGAUUUCCUCGCUGGUCAACCAAAUCCAGAUGGGAUAAGCGCUGCAGAUGCAAACUCUGAACGCAAAAAUAAUAAAUCAAUGCGGCUUACAAUAGAAUUGUUUCCGACAGAUUCUUGCAAGUACCCUGAAUUCAAUUACUCCAGACUAUUGCAUUUAGAAAAGAAAAAGCAGAAAAAAUUAAAACAAAAAACAAAUGGUUUCACUGAUCCAUUCAACGACAAUGACGAUGAUGUAGCGAGAAUUGCGCGGGAACUAGAAAAAAAAUAUGGUACUGCGUACAGUAGCGGCCGCGGUCGUAGCAAAAAAGAUGAUCUCUGCGAUAUUGGGUUGGGAUACGACGAAUCUGAUUCGUUUAUAGAUAACACAGAAGCAUACGAUGAAAUUAUACCAGAAGAAAUGGAAACAAUCGAAGGUGGUUUCUAUAUCAAUUGUGGUCCUUUGGAAUUCCAAAAACUUCACACUGAAUCGACAACCACGAAAACAGAUGAAAUUAUUAAAAUGCCUAAUCGACCGAGAAAACGCGUAAUAUCCUCAUCUUCCUCUGACAGUUCAUCCAGCAGCGACGAAGAUGCUGAAGAAGAUGUUGAUUCAGAUGGUGAAGUGUCGAGUGCUGAUACAGUAAAGGGCAGCAAAAAUUGUAGUGCCAUAUCACAAACUGAGGAAAAACGUCCCCGCUCCAAUUCAACUGCUAAUCCGACAAAAAAACCAAAGACCAACCAGGAGAGUAACACUAAGAAGGGAAAAGUUGUUAAAAAUCCCGGAAUCGGUAGUUCGUCUACGUCGAACUCUCCCAAACCAUCGUCGGUAGGUUCAGAUUCGGAGAAAGAGCGAGGACGACAAAAAGUGGUGAAAACAACAACCAUCAAGGAUAUGCUCAAAGCAAAACGUGACAAUUUCCUUAAAAUGCAAGAAGGUGGAAAUUGUAGUCGGCAAAGCGGAAGUUCCGAAGGCAAAGCAAUUAAUGGUGAAUUAAAAGGAACCGCAAGUAAGUCAUCCGAUGAAGACGAUUCUUCAACUAGUGGCGAAUCGGAUGAAUCCAGCGAUGACAGUGACUCCAACGAUGGUGAACCCCAGGAGAAGAUAGCUAAAAAUAAUAUUGGAGAAAGCACCGAAAAAUUGCGCACCAGCGACACUAAGCUCCCAGAUAUCGAAGAUGAGAUUAUAGCGGAUGUACAGCAAUUCAAGGACAUUGUAAAAAUGAAGAAUAUGACGGGUAAACGUUUCCAGUUUGACGACUCGCUAGUCGAAGUCUUUUUAAAAAUCGAUGAGGCGUUAUUAUGCAUCGAGAAGAAUCAGAGAAAUAUGGUAUUUGCACACUUGGAAUAUCAUCUCAUACUGCCUAAAUAUUUCUUCUUGCGCAAAGCGAAACAGUUGCGAAUUAAGGAGGAGAAAAUGAAAAGCAAAAGAGCCCUCUGUAAGUUACGAAAGGCCAUUAUUGAAGCAAUGCCAGGUGUUAUUGCGAAUUUCGAAGCAGAAAUACGCAAACAAGCCGAAAUUGCCAUUAAUACGAAUGCUGAGCAUCCCCCAAAAAUGCCAAAAAAGAAAUUCCCAUGGAAUAACAACUUACGAAACUUACUCUACGACGUUUAUCAAGUUCGUUGGACUUCAUAUCCAGUGCUGGGCACACGAAAGGAGACUCUUGAGGAUUUCAUCAAUGUAUUUUUGCGAGAAAAAGUUGUGGAGCUUUGGCCAAAAGAUUGGAUGCGUCUCGAAGAACUGCAACGUGAGAUUGAAAAACGCAAGGCUGCAGCAAAGAAAGCAAAAGAGAAGAAGAAAGAAAAAGACAACGGGAGCAACUCCAAUUCGGGGAGCUCCACAGCAACAAAUCUUGCUGGUGGUUCGGGUACUUCCGGCACGAGUACACAAAACGCACCAACCAAUAACGCUUAUAUGAAGCAGUUUGAGGAAUUCGCAACAGGCAGCCGUAGCUCAUACGCGAAUUCCGACACUGAAUCCGUGGCAAGUAGCAGCGCCUCGAACAGCCUAAAACGCAAAAGUGGCAAAGGUGCUUCUAAGGCCGUAAAAUCCCAAGCACCAAGUAAUAUAACCAGUACCUACGAUAACAGCAAAAAACCACAAUUGCCACAGCAGCCGCCCUCCUUUGUGCCUGCCACAACAAAUUUAGAAUUUGGUAUACAAAACGUUUUGAACAGCAAUGCCGUCAUAACCUCAACUAAAGCACCUAACUCCAUUUUACCGCCAUUACCGACCCCAACCAGCGUUAGUCCAUCAACCAAUAUGCCAUCUCAACCUAAACAUUCCAAAACUGGGGAGACCAACGUACAAGUUAUAGAUUUAGAUAACUACCGUAGUCCCAGCGAUAUAUUGCUGACGUCACAACAGAUAUUGCGACCGGGCAAUAGUAACACUACAACAACGGCAUUGUCCAACACAAAAACUGCCUUAGUGCUGAAUGCACCAAACCGACGGGAGAGCAGUAGUGAAUCGGAUGGCGUGGAGAUCGUUAGUAUCUACCCCGCUACUGCUAGGUCACAGGUGGGCGCGUCUCAAAAACAGAAAUAUAAGAAGAAUUCGGCUUUGAACUAUUCGGACAACAUGAAAGUGAAUGUAUUCCAAGCCGGUUCGUCAACAACAUUAACAAACAACAAUAAUAAUAGUAACACGAACAACAAUAAUAGUCAAAUCAUCAAGGGUAAACAAUUGGAGCCGUUGAGCGGAGUUUCAAAUUAUGAUAAACAAACUGUUCGGACAUUCAAGGAUCUCGGGGAUUUGCAAAAACAAAAGACUAAUCUAUCAUCACCACAAAAUGGUUCGAAAAAAGAUCACUGCGCUCAAUGACCCGCAGUAGUAUUUGAUGCAGCCGAUUUGAGUAAAAUAUCGGCAGCAGCGCUUUCGUGUUUCGCGCAAGCGCAGUCGGUAGCUAGCGAGGGGUUCUUAACAACCAACACAGUAAGUGGUGUGACGAUGGGAAAACACACAUUUGGCGCUUUGCCACCACUGCCAUUAUUUUUACCAACACAUAUGGAAGUCUCACAACUACCACCACCACCGCCACCACCGUCGUCUGCCUCGGCAAAUAUGCCAGUAGUGUUGAUACAACCGCCUUUACCGACAACAGCAACAACUCCGCCGUCGUCAUCAACACUACCACCAACAAGCCAACAAUCAACAGAUUCGCAACAAAUACAGUCGCGAAUUAGAUUUUAGAAUUUACACAAAUGGAACUUAACAAGAUCAAUAACAUUAAAUGCAUACAACUAAAUAUUCUUUUAGACGAAAUCAUAAUUUGCUAACUUCGCAAAAACGCAUUUGUAUUACACUCACAUAAUGGAGGUGUGAGCACGAGAGUUGAGCAGUUGGCGCCAUUAAAUUAUAGCAAACGUACCAAUUUGUAAUUCAAGUAAUGACGAUAUUCGGCGCACAUACAUAAGUAUCUUCAGCCAACAAACAUGUAUUCGUUACGCGUCCCUUUCAACGGCAGUUCGAUGUACACUUAAUUUAUUAUAACUUUAGUUACGGUUUUUGCAAUUCUAAGACAAUAUGCAAAUAACCCAUUCUACAUACAUACAUAUAAACGUAUCGUAUCUUCAUUCUUAGCAUUUAAGCAUGUGUUUUAUGCUAUUAUUAAGUUAAAUUUAAUCUACUCAACUAGUUUGUGUUAACUUUGUUUGGCCUACAUGCAUUUGUACUAGUUUUUCAUUGCCCGCGCUAUUUAUCAAAUUAUAUUAUAAUUGUAAUAAAUUAGUUGGGCAGAAAUUAUUAAAAAAACACCACUAUUCCUCAUCAAUUAAGCAGCAAAAUUUUUGGAGAAAUGUUCUUUUCUACUUAAGAUAUGUACAUACAUAUGUGGAUCCAAAGGGUCCGGUCUAGUGCAUAAAACAUUCAAUUUGAUUUUUACGUCUGCAAAAAGUUUGAUUACUGAAUAAAAGCAUAUUAUACUGAAAAUCUUUGUUUUCUGUACAUUUUGGGUUCACAACUAUUCGUUAUUCCAGCUCGUUCUUUGUUCAUAAAGGCGGCUUACGAGGGUAUCAGCACACGUCAAUGCUUCAUUUGAUUUGUAUCGAAAAAUUUAUUACAUGCAUACAUGUGUAUAUGUAUCAAAUCUAGAGGAUUUAAUAAAAUUUGUAACUGUAUUAGAUUGAGUUUGUGUGGAGUUCGGUGGAACUGGUUUCUAUGGAAAAUAAAAUUAGACAAUUACAUUUGUCAAAUAUUUUUAGUAUGUACAAGCAUAUAUUUGAAUAAAUUUAUUUUUUUAAUACAAUGAACACCACUUAAAUUUACAUAAUAUUUUUGGAAAAUACAUUUGAAUUCAAAGAAAAAGUGUAAUGCCAAAUCUUGAGAUUUUUUAUUUUUUAUAUUUACAUUUCAUUUAGGCCUUCUUGCGCACGGCUUGUGGUCUGGAAAUAAAAAAGAUAAAUAAUAAUAAAAAUAUUUAAAGAGUUAAAGAUUCUAUUAUUGUGAUAAUCAGCUGUCUAUAUCAAAACCCAUACAGAAUGCAUUUGUCAAAAUUUAGUCAUCAUUAUGUACAUAUGUACAAAGCACGCAAUUUUGUCCUGGUUCAUACUUAAACAACAUCUCUACCUGAAACUUGUCAUUUUAUUUCGCAACUCGAAAACAGACGUCCAAAUAAGUGUUUGAAUCUGCAACCCUGACUGUCAAUUGCAAUAUUUGUGAAAAAAAGACAACAAAAUUUUAGUUACCUAGCCAUUAAAAUAAACUGUAAAUACUUUGUUCAAUAAAAACUGUAUAGUAGUUUUUAAGCCUGUGAGAUAAUAAUUAAAAGUUUACAACAUAUUCUGUAAUAAUAUGGCAAAUGCGUUAAAACGUAUAUAAUAUUACCUGUUGUGUUGAGAGAAAAGGAACUGUGA